CGCCGCUUUCUUCCGGUAGCUCGAGCUCCUCUCUUGCGGCCUCGACAUUCAAAGUCCUAGUGGACAUAACAAGGGGAUGGCGACUAGCAGAAACAACUCCACGGGCAUCUUUGUUCGACCUGCCACGAGAACUCUAUUUGACCUGUCAAUGUGUACAAUCCCGAUGACCCAAGAAGAUCAACAGAAGCAAAGAGAACUCUGUUUGACUUGCCCACAUCUAAACUGUUGGAUGUCUACGACAAUCACAAAAGAGAACAUCUGCACCAUACUGUUAGUUUCUUCUUCUUGUGUAAUAUAUAUUGAGCUGUUGCAAGAAAUCAGAAGAAUUAAACACUGCUAGAGUUUUUUGUAGGACAAAGAUGCAAGCAGUGCCAGUAGGCAUUGGAGCAUCGAAAUGCAAGUGCUACGGCGUGCGUGCGAGGAUUGGAGAUGGCUGGUCGCCGAUGCGUAGGAACAGGGGUUAACACAUUUUUUAAAACAUCUUCGGUCAAGAUUGUGAAGUUUAGUUAACACAUUUUUCACAUGAGCAACACAUCCAUAUGUUGGAGCAUGUUCGCCAGCUAGUUCAAAGAGAAAAAACUGCUAAACAAAUUUAGCCAUAUUAGUUGGAUGGCAUAGCUUUGCACACACGAGAGGAUUUUCAUGGGAUCACUACUCACGACUGUUUUCGGAGAGGAACCUGGGAUGCCACGAAGCACCGUGCGCUGCAG
Molecule: long non-coding RNA, 710 nt
Filed under: Triticum aestivum (bread wheat)
Lineage: Eukaryota; Viridiplantae; Streptophyta; Magnoliopsida; Poales; Poaceae
Description: long non-coding RNA (TAES_LNC010176)
Source: RNAcentral